AAUGAACGUUGGCGGCGUGGAUUAGGCAUGCAAGUCGAGCGUGUACCCGCAAGGGGAAAGCGGCGGAAGGGACAGUAACACGUAGAUUACCUGCCCUCAGGUCUGGGAUAGCCACGGGAAACUGUGGGUAAUACCGGAUAAUAUCUUCGGAUCAAAGGUGUGAUUCCGCCUGAGGAUGGGUCUGCGUCCUAUUAGCUUGUUGGUGAGGUAACGGCUCACCAAGGCAAUGAUGGGUAGUGGGUGUGAGAGCACGACCCGCGUCACUGGGACUGAGACACUGCCCAGACACCUACGGGUGGCUGCAGUCGAGGAUCUUCGGCAAUGGGCGCAAGCCUGACCGAGCGACGCCGCGUGCGGGAUGGAGGCCUUCGGGUUGUAAACCGCUGUCGGAGGGGAUGAAAGGUAUGUGGGUUCUCCCAUGUAUUUGACAUAGCCUCGGAGGAAGUACGGGCUAAGUUCGUGCCAGCAGCCGCAGUAAUAC
RNAcentral lists this ribosomal RNA (481 nucleotides) under uncultured bacterium. RNAcentral's name for it is "bacterial SSU rRNA". It matches the Rfam family "Bacterial small subunit ribosomal RNA", at positions 29 to 526 of the family's 1533-position model. The record is from RNAcentral.